CAAUAGCGUAUAUUAAAGUUGUUGCGGUUAAAAAGCUCGUAGUUGGAUUUCUGCUGAGAACGACCGGUCCGCCCUCUGGGUGUGUAUCUGGCUCUUUCUUGGCAUCUUCUUGGUGAACGUUGCUGCACUUGACUGUGUGGAGCGCUACCCAGGACUUUUACUUUGAGGAAAUUAGAGUGUUUCAAGCAGGCAUACGCCUUGAAUACAUUAGCAUGGAAUAAUAAGAUAGGACCUCGGUUCUAUUUUGUUGGUUUCUAGAGCUGAGGUAAUGAUUAAUAGGGAUAGUUGGGGGCAUUCGUAUUUAACUGUCAGAGGUGAAAUUCUUGGAUUUGCUAAAGACGGACUACUGCGAAAGCAUUUGCCAAGGAUGUUUNCAUUG
RNAcentral lists this ribosomal RNA (379 nucleotides) under uncultured eukaryote. RNAcentral describes it as "partial 18S ribosomal RNA". It matches the Rfam family "Eukaryotic small subunit ribosomal RNA", at positions 592 to 975 of the family's 1831-position model. The record is from RNAcentral.